AUCUGUUUGUUUAUAGUUUACUUAAGCAAAGGGACCUUUAAAAAACGGACUUUGAUAAGAGGGGACAAAGUUUCUUCAGAAAUGAACCGGAGUUCCUUAGUAAGAACUUCAGUUUCUUUUAUACACAGGUGCCCGGAGAACUGGGGAGUCCUUGCCAUUCCAAGCCGCCCUGUGCCGGUAAUUCCUCUCAGAAACUUGUACGAACUUGUUUUUGACUGACAGUGAACAGUAAGACUGGUUCUUCACUUUGAAGAACCCUCAGCACCUACCUUUGCAAGGCACCCUGGAUCACUUCCUUGCCUGGUCUUAAUUUCCCACCCACCCAGGAGCCUGCACUGGGCACUCGGCAGGUAAGAAGCUGAAGUGUCUGUCACUGUGGGGGCACGCAGCAUGCUGGAGAUGCUUCUGAGAAACUUGACUUCCAAAGAAAGAAAGAGCACAGUGGGUUUCUGAAGUAGUCAGAGAGUGGAAGCAGUCUGACUGGAGAAACGGCUUUGUUCACGGCCCAUGGAGAACACUGCUUUCCCCAGUAAUAAGGAGGAACUGAGGAGCAUCCCAGGGGCAAGACCUCUUCGUGAGUUCAGUGCCUCUGCUUAGGCAUGGUGAGCCUUUGCCACACACAGGUCAUGGCUUGGAAAAGUCACAUGACCUCCCUACACAGGAAGCAGAAACACAUCCCGCUCAAAGGGGCCAGCCUAGGCCAUAGCAGAGCCCCAUGGUAGCCAGGUGGGAGAAGGGGAGCGAGGACGCGCCACUUACCCUGCAGAAGAUUCCUGACCUACAGAGUGGUCCAAAGAUGGAUGCCAUUCACCUUGGCAUGUCCAGUGCCCCACUGGUGAAGCAUACCAACGGGGUUGGACUCAAGGCCCACAGACCCCGAGUCAUGUCAAAGAGUGGGCACAGUAAUGUGAGAAUCGAUAAGGUAGACGGAAUCUAUUUACUCUACCUCCAGGACUUGUGGACAACCGUCAUCGACAUGAAGUGGCGAUACAAGCUCACCCUAUUUGCUGCCACCUUUGUGAUGACCUGGUUUCUGUUUGGAGUGGUCUACUAUGCCAUAGCCUUUAUUCAUGGUGACUUACAACUUGGGGAAUCUAAUUCCAACCACACACCCUGCAUUAUGAAAGUGGACUCUCUCACAGGAGCAUUCCUCUUUUCCUUGGAAUCUCAGACAACCAUUGGCUACGGGGUCCGUUCCAUCACAGAGGAGUGUCCCCAUGCUAUCUUCCUCUUAGUCGCCCAACUGGUCAUCACCACAUUGAUUGAGAUCUUCAUUACGGGGACCUUUCUGGCUAAAAUUGCAAGACCCAAAAAGCGAGCCGAGACCAUUAAGUUCAGCCACUGUGCUGUCAUCAGCAAGCAGAAUGGAAAGCUAUGCCUGGUCAUCCAGGUGGCCAACAUGAGGAAGAGUCUCCUGAUUCAGUGCCAGCUCUCUGGAAAACUCCUGCAGACACACGUCACCAAAGAGGGAGAACGCAUUCUCCUCAACCAGGCCACUGUCAAAUUCCACGUGGACUCCUCUUCCGAGAGUCCCUUCCUCAUCCUGCCCAUGACCUUCUACCACGUGUUGGAUGAGACAAGCCCCCUGCGGGACCUCACACCCCAAAACCUAAAGGAGAAGGAGUUUGAGCUGGUGGUACUUCUCAACGCCACGGUGGAGUCUACCAGCGCCGUCUGCCAGAGCCGAACGUCUUACAUCCCGGAGGAGAUCUACUGGGGCUUUGAGUUUGUGCCUGUGGUUUCUCUCUCCAAAAAUGGAAAGUAUGUGGCUGAUUUCAGUCAAUUUGAGCAGAUCAGGAAGAGCCCGGAUUGUACCUUCUACUGUGCCGAUUCUGAGAAGCAGAAGCUUGAAGAACAGUACAGGCAAGAGGACCAGAGGGAGCGGGAGCUGAGGAGCCUCCUGCUACAGCAGAGCAAUGUCUGACUCCACCGGCCUCUGGGCGUCUCCUAACCAGGGCUCCUUUCAAAAGCAAUGGCUGCCAUGAACGUGGGAUGGGUGGCCCCACUACCAAAUCACACAGACGUUCGUGGCCAUCUUCCCCUUUGUUCUGAUGGCUGAACAAGCAUUUCUGAAUAUAAAAAGAUGUCUUCAGAGUGCCUGGUCAGAGGUGAGCACUCAAAUUCAGAUUUCCCCCCACCCCUAAAAUGGAGCUAUACAUUGAAGAACUGAGUGUAGGAAGAUGGAGAGAAUUCCCGCUGGAGGGCAGACCCAGCAGUGCUGACAGUGGAUGGCAUGUAUGCCUACUCAAGAACAUCUGCUCAUAAUGCAAAAUAUUUAUUUACCCACCUAACAAGGGCAUUGGUGGCUGAGGUCUGAGGCGUAAUUUGCUAUUUGCUCAUAGCACUGCUUAAGAACUCACUCCUUCUCAUGUUCAAGUGCAUACGUUUUUAUUUGCAAUGACGGUUAUCUGGAGAUGACAAAAAAAAAAAAAGUUGGGAAAGCAGGGUCUUAAAGCUUGCAGAAUAAUACAGCCGUUUUAUUUUUACAUUCUUCCAUAGACUUUAAUUGUGUGGAGCGAACAUCAUCAAAUCAGGAAUCAAGAGUUCAGAAAAUAUGUCCAUCUCUUGAUUCUGUGGUCCCCAUCACUUCUGGAGGAAGCGUGUACUAGCCUCUUUUUCCUUUAAAAUGUCCUUCACAGACAAACCAAAUAGCACCAUUUAGGGACAUAUUGGCAACACGCACAGCCGGGUUUCAGCCAGGCUUCCAGAAACCUCAAUGUUGCAGGCUCUGAGUAAUGUUUGCAAUGUCAUCUGUCUAGAUCCACGUUGGAAAAAAGAGCGUGUGCGUUCCGAGUCCAUGUGCCCUCCAGGUCUGCCCUCUGUCAGCGUUAUCAGUCGACACAUCCAUCUCUCAGCUAUCUCAGCUUUUCCCUGGGAACAUACCUUAGCCACAAAGAAAUUGUACAGAGUUACUAGUGUCUUAAGAAUUAGACAGUUCCCUGAGAGCUGUGACUGUCACCAUUGUGUUAAUUCAUGGACUGAAGACGGCAGUCACCACAAAAGAAAACUGAAACUGUGUCACAAAUAGGAAGUCUGCAUUAGAUGCUGCAGUUUGCAGCUCAUGACACAGAGAAGAGGAGCCAAGGGGGAAAGGUGUCUGUGAGCAAGAAGAGCCCUUGUGCAAGAGCCUAGACAAAUACGUAGUACAACUCAGUGUUACAGGGGUAACAUUUUACCUCUGAGAAAUAUAGGAGUAUAACGCCUGCAUUUCCUUGGGAAAGAGAAUUAAGCAGGCUAGGAUUGACUGAAUAGAUAAGCGCUGUGUGCUCAUUUUAUCUGGACAAACUAGAAAUUUACUCAAGUGCCAUGUAACCAUGAAUGUACAGGCAAUACUCUCUCUCUCUCUCUCUCUCUCUCUCUCUCACACACACACACACACACACACACACACACACACACACACACACACACACACAUGUUCCUCAUACAAUAUGCCAGGGUGUGCUCUGGCUCUGCAAACACAAUACCAGGCAUGUGGGAUCAGAGGUCACACUAAGAAAGUCUACCAAGUUAUCCUCAUGCUUAUCUGAUUCUUUAAGAAAAAUGAACAUUUGGACCCAGAGAAACUGGGGAGACUUUAGCUGGAUCUAGCUGUUAGUGUGAACAACUGCACCCCCAGUCAUAACCUUGAGAGACCACUUUCACACUGUCUUUCCUUCAAACAACAACAAAAUGUGGAAAUAAAAUCUUUGGGUUGGAACCAAGCUAAUGCAGUGAGAGUCUGAGACCCAUGGAGGAAAAGUUUGCAGAACGAUUUCUAUUAAGGAGGAUUUAGGGCUGGAGAAAUGGCUCGGUAGGUAAGGGCUACAGCUCAAAUGCUCAACACCCUUGUAAAAUGCCAGGGAGGGGUUCACAAGCCUAGAACUGCAAGAUCAUGGGGAGCUGAGACAGGGGGAUCACUGGGACUUACUGGGCACCAGAGAGCUCCAGGCUCAGUAAGACACCCUGUCUCAGAAGAAUAAGGCAGAUAAAGGAAAGUGACCUACUCCUCUGGCCUCUAGGCACAUGCAUGCUCUCCCCACUCCACAUACCAAUCUGUCUGUCUGUCUCUGUCUCUCUCCCUGUCUCUUUCUGUCUCUGUCUCUCUCCCUGUCAAUCUCUCUCCCUCUCUCCCUUUGUCUCUCCCUCCCUGUCUCUGUCUCUCCCUGCCUCUCCCUGUUUCUCUCUCUCUCUCUCUCUCUCUCUCUCUCACACACACACACACACACACACAGAGAGAGGUUAAAUCAUUCAAGAAAAUGUUUUCCACUCCUUCCUGACUUCAUGGCAGCCUGUGUUAGUUUCCCCCUUUUUCAAACUGUUAGAUGUUUGCCCGCUCAGACAUUAGUCCCUUUCACUAUUAAUCUUGUGUAUUUGUGUCACAUAUUACAGUAGAAUCAAUAGGAAAAAUCGUGCCACGAGGGCGUUUGUGGUGGCUUUUCUAUUGUUUUAUGAAAUUCCUCACCCAAAAUCCACUUUGGUGGCCAUCUGAAUCUGAUUAAUCCCAGUAACUCAGCUUGCUUCUGUUGUAUACGGUACAAAUGGUAACACGCCAGUCUCAAAAUCGUCUUUGUAUAAUCACUGAGCAUAUUAUAUUCAUCCAGAUUUGGAAUAUCUGAUCAUUUGAAAGUUUUUUGUAAUACACACCAAUAUAUUCGGUGCCUUCAAAACCACUGUAUGGGCCAGGUGUGCUGGUACAUGCCUGUGAUCCUAGCACAUGGGAGGUGGAGGUACCAGGAUUAGGAAUUCAAGGCCAGCCUCGAUGACAUAAUGCCUCCACGACAUGAGCCCCUCUAACAAAAUAUGUAAUGUUUAGGUCAAUAAAUCAUAUUGUAACAUAAUAUCUAGUAAUUCAUUCUAUAGUUGACUGGUUUGAAACUUAACAUUUUUCAGAAUCCCUUAGAUAUUAUUUUGAACCACAUAUUCUCAUGUUAAUGUACUAGUAGAAGAAUUAAAUGAUAAGCUUACUGGAUGUCAUCUAGACAGCUUUCUGAUGGCAACAGAUUCAGAAGAGUCAUCAAAACAAUAGAGUGUUUAACCUGAAGAAAGCUUUGUGUUUCUUCAGAAACUCAAUGCAUUCACUUUCUCUAUGAUUCUGAAAUUGUUCUUCAUUUGGGAGACCACAGGGCAGCAGAUCAAUGUAUACCACAAGCCAUGUCUUCUGCCUUGCUGCCUGUGACCGCAGACAAAGGAGAGACGCACCUCUGACCCAUACAGUGAGCCACUUUGGGUCGAGGGUGGGAGUUAAACCUUGGUUCUCUGUUUUCUUUUUCAUGGGGAAAUUAACAGUGACGUUUUUUAAUAUCUAAAAACAAAUGCAUAGUGGGAAGAAAAAAUAAUAUUCAUUAGAGUGGAUCAAAUAUUUAGAUAAAUGUAAACACCCAUUUUGUUUGAUCUUUAAUUGAAUUAAAUUUCUACUUUGAACUGGCUGUGGUUUUGAUAUCAAUGAAGUGUAAAAUUAUAUACAUAUUUAAAA
Molecule: RNA transcript, 5455 nt
Organism: Mus musculus (house mouse)
Lineage: Eukaryota; Metazoa; Chordata; Mammalia; Rodentia; Muridae
Gene: Kcnj15
Gene name: potassium inwardly-rectifying channel, subfamily J, member 15
Exons: 6
Source: RefSeq, marked validated